GCGGGUGUGGUGUGCGGUACACGGCGGCCUUCCAUAUCCAGAACUCAUGGUAUCGAAUUUGGAGCCACAGAUCUGGGUUCGACUCCCAGCCCUUGCA
Molecule: non-coding RNA, 97 nt
Organism: Mycena galopus ATCC 62051
Lineage: Eukaryota; Fungi; Basidiomycota; Agaricomycetes; Agaricales; Mycenaceae
Source: the annotation of a GenBank genome assembly